RNAcentral lists this long non-coding RNA (4728 nucleotides) under Sus scrofa (pig). RNAcentral describes it as "lncRNA (ENSSSCG00000052033.1)". Lineage: Eukaryota; Metazoa; Chordata; Mammalia; Artiodactyla; Suidae. The record is from RNAcentral.
AGACAAAUAAAAUAAAAAACAAAAAAAAAUAAACCUACCAGUCUGGAGUGAUCUGCCUCUUUCUUCUCUCACUGCCCUCUGGGUCGUGGGGAGGGGAGACAGGGAUUAUUUCAGAUCAUACCCAGGUAGCUCGAGGAGGCUCUUAAACAAUAGACUAACAGUACAGGGAAUCGUGCUGGUUCUUUGCAUGCCUUCCUAGUGUCUUUUUUUUUUUUUGAUAUUAAAAAAUCCAGAGUUUCCAUUGUGACUCAGAAGGUUAAGGACCCGACAUUGUCUCUGUGAGGAUAUGGGUUCAGUCCCUGGCCUUGCUCAGUGGGUUAAGGAUCUGGUGUUGCCAUGGCUGUGACACAGGCUUCUGCUGCAGCUCUAGCUCAACCCCUAGCCUGGGAACUUCCAUAUGCCACAGAUGCAGCCAUUAAAAAAAAAAAAAAAAUUCCCUCCCAAAGUUAUGAUUUUAAGCACCGUAGUUGCCACUUGAUGAAUGCUUGCAUAAUAUUAUUAGAAUUUUUUUAAAGAUGGAUGUUCUUUUAGGUUAAAAAUAAUAGCAUGAACAUAAUCACCUGUGGAAGUUCCUGUGUGUAUAAGCAGCAGCUUGAAUCAUAAGAUAGUGUAAAAGUUUAGAAGUAUUUCUUUCCAUCUCUGAGGGAAGCCUGGGCCUAAGCAGACCUCAUGCCUUGUCCCUCAGUAUCUGAGAGGGAUUGGUUCCAGGAGCUUCCAUAUACCCAAGAUUCUCAGAUGCUAAGUUCCUGUGGCUGACCCUGCAUAUCCAAGGAUUUCGUAUCUGUGGAUUCAACAAACCACGGAUGGAAAUUUUGCCUCAUGGAUGCCAAACCUGGUUAUAUAGUAGGCCGACUAUGUGCUUAUUUUAUAUAUUUAUUUUAAAAAAUCCACCUCUCUGUGGACCAGGGCAGGUCAGACCCAUGCUGUUCAAAGGUCGCCUGCCGCUCGUUGACCGGCCAGCUUUGCCAUUUUUCCCAUCAUUCACUGAAGCUUAAAAUUAUUUGAGGUGCCCAUUAUUUUAAACUUUCUCAUGAAAGGAUUAACAAUAUCCAUCUAUAACAGUGCAUGGACCUGUAUUUUAAUUUUCAAAUAGCGCACCUGUACUUUCGUUUCAGACGGCCACGCUCUGAGCCAGUUACAUUUUCCGAGAGAACAUUUUUCCAAGUGCGUAGGGUCGGGUACAGGAAUGCUUGACAGCGUGUACUCCCAGGGGUUUAUGGCCAUUAUCUGAGCCAUCUUUGCAAAUAUCAAAGUGCUAAUAAUGCUUAUAUUCGAGCAGUAGCUGGGGAUGUUAUUGUCUUCAUUUACCUGCCAAAUGUGCAAUAAGGAAGCUCAUCUUUUCGUUGGCUAUUCAGUAUGUCCCUUAAUGCUUAAUUAUUGCUAAAUCUGUGGCCACUAUUUUAUUUCAUACGGUUGUUUUAAUUAAAUGAUUGCAUGACUGUUAUGAGGUGCCCUGUUGCAUGUCUAAUAUUUGAUGAAUGUCUGGCCUCAUUUGAAUGAUUUCUGCAUUGGGUUGAAUGGAUCCUUCAGGUCGCCUCAGCCCAAGAGGUGACACCUGGUAACAUAUUCUGUCACGGCAGUUACAGUAAAGGAUGGAAGCAUGGACUUGAUAAGAGCUACGUGAAGGAAGUGAAUCAUGUCUGCUCUGCGCUGUGUGGGGGGGACAUGGUGGUGCUCAAACUUACAACAACCUUAUGAGACAACGUUUGUUUGUUUUUUAAAAAAAGAAAACCGAUGGCUUCACACUUUUAAUUUCAAUUAAAAAGAACGUUGAGAGUGUAAAGAUCCAGACGAUGGAACUUACGAAGCACGUGUACUGACACUUAGUAUAGUUCAAAAUAAUGAAUGGCAACCAAAGAAACAACUCAGAAGCUAUGACCAGAUUGCUUAAUGUUUAGAAAUGUUAGAUCAUGGUGGAGAUUUAAUCUAAGACCAGUCCGAUGUCUUGUGAUUAGAAACCACUUUAUUCAUCACAGCUCCCACUUACAACAAGAUUCAUUUAAAGUUUCCUAUUGUUUAUCGAAAACAAGAAUUCACUGAAGCCAAGGUUACAGUCAGGGAUAGGGUUGACUGUGGGUGUCGGCAGCCUGUAUUUUGCUUCGUCCCAGCAGUCUGGCAUUUGAAAGGACAAUUAAGCAGUGUCUGAAGCUUUGCUCUGUCAUAUAUGAGGUCUGAGUUAAUUGUCUACCCUGCUUUCCUCAAAACUGGGGAUGGAAGGGCCCCUCUACCUCCUCCACACGCCUCCCAUCCAACUCCCCACAUUCUAGAAAUAUCCUAGGGGGGACUCUGGAUCCUUAUAAGGAAAAUCUGGUUUUUUUAAAUUUCAUUUACCUUAAAAACAGUGGAAGCAUAUUCAGAAUCACCUGAUAACCACGUUGUAACUGAGUACAGGUGAGCCAUUUGAGGGCUCCUGUCUGUUUGAUUAUCAUUAUAAUUACCAUUAUUAUAAAAAAUAUGAUAUAAAAUAUUUCCUCCUCCUUCCAGCUCCUGGCAGCCACCAUUCUACUUCCUAUCUCUGAGCAAUUGACUGUUUUAGAUUCUUCCAUCUCCUCAAGCUUCAUACAGGUGGUUGACUUGCCUUCAAGUUCACGGAUUCUUCUGCUCGAUUAACUCUGCUGUUGAUUCUUUUUAGUGCAUUUUUCAAUUCAGUUACUGUACUUCUAAGCUCCAGAAUGUCUGUGUAGUUCUUUUUUUUAUAGUGUCUGUCUUCUUAUUUUUUAAUUCAUCUUUCUUUCUCUCUCUUUCCUUUCUUUUCUUUUCUUUCUUUCUUUCUUUCUUUCUUUUCUUUCUUUCUUUCUUUCUUUCUUUCUUUCUUUCUUUCUUUCUUUCUUUCUUUCUUUCUUUCUUUCUUUCUUUCCUUUUUAGAGCUGCACCUGUGGAAUAUGGAAGUUCCCAGGUUAGGGGUCGAUUUGGAGCUGUUGGCUACAUCUGCAACCUAUGCCACAGCUUUCGGCAAUUCCAGAUCUUUAACCCUCUGAGUGAGGCCAGGGGUCAAACUGGUGUCCUCUUGGAUACUCGUUGGGUUCAUAUCCUGCUGAGCCACAAUGGGAACUCCUCUUUUUCUUUACUUUUUUCUUUUUUCUUUUGGCUGCGCCCAAGGCAUGUAGAAGUUCCCAGGCCAGGGAUUGAACUCAUGCCACAGCAGUGACCCAAGCUGCUGUAGUGACAAUGUCAGAUCCUUAACCCACUUCACCACAAGCGAUAUCCAGAUUUCCAUUUCUUUAGUGUUGUUUCUGGAGAUUUAGUUUGUUCCUUUGAUUAGGCCAUAAUUCCCGUUUCCCUGUUUCUUCAUAUGACUUGGGUUUUUUUUCAUUUGUUUGUUUGUCAUGAUUUUUGCAUUUGACAAAAGCAGGCACUUCUCACAGUCAUUACACAGAUGCUCUCAUACAGGAGAAGACCCUUACCAGUCAGUUUGGGUAGAGACUCUGGGGGCCUUCCAAACCUUUUAUCAGCAGGGGUCUUCUCUGGGCUUGAGUAUACCAUUUCCCGGCUGGAAGUUUGAAAAACAAACAGGGAGUUCCCACUGUGGCUCAGCGGCUUAAAACUAGACAUAGCAUUCUUGAGGAUGCAGGUUUGAUCCCUGGCCUCGCUCCGUGAGUUAAGGAUCCAGCAUUAUCUCAGCCUGCAGCGAGGGUAGCAGAUGCGGCUUGGGUCCGGUGUUGCUGUGGCUGUCACGUAGGCUUGGAUGCAGCUCCGAUUCAAUUGACCUCUAGCUGAGAACUUCCAUAUGUCUCAAGUGUGGCCCUAACAAAAAAAAAUUUAGUGGUUUCUUUUUUAGGAGGUUGUGUUAUCUUACCCCCUCUGGUGUUUCUCUGUGGUACUGCAGGUUUAGGUCUCUCCUCCACAGACCCCAGAUACCCAGUGUGCCGGUUUUAUCAGUAUCCUGAGUUAGGCAAGGCAGAAACCAGUCCUUAGGGCAGGCUGCCCACCCCCCAACCCACCCCCCAAAAAGGCUGAAGUCUUGAGCUAAGCGCUUUCUCCUGAUCAUGACAGCUAUAGCCUUCUGUCUAUAGUGCUGCAAUUUCCUGAUGUUGACAUAAGCCUUUGAGUUCUUUUUUUUUUUUUUUUUUUUUUUUUUUUUCUCAGCAGCCUCAGGCAUCCAAAGUAUGCUGGUUCCCCAUCAGCUAUCCAACCAGGCAAGACAGAAACCAGUCCCUCAGGCAGACUGAAGAGCUGGAGCUUUGGGUAAACAAUCUGCUCUUCUCCCCUCCCACGGGGAGGUGGGCUUUUUGCUCCUGGUGGUGAGCAGUGCCAGCUUAGGGGAGGCACCAAUGUAGCUGAAAUGAAAUGGCUUUUCCUGCCCAUUUCUAUGGGAUUGGCCUUGGCCUUGACCUUGUAUAGGGCACUGAAACUUCCUAACUGGUUUCUGGAAUUCUCAGAAAGACUUCUUGGAUGGCAUAUUGUUUGUUGUUAAAUUGAUGUGUCUGUUGGGAAAUGAGGGCUGGUUUCCCGUUCUGCCAUUUUGCUAAAUGUAACCUCCUCAUAUCUGUUUUUGUAUUUAAGAUCAAAUUGGGGAGUUCCCGUCGUGGUGCAGUGGUUAAUGACUAGGAACCAUAAGGUUGCGGGUUUGAUCCCUGACCUCGUUCAGUGGGUUAAGGAUCUGGCGUUGACAUGAGCUGUGGUGUAGGUUGCAGACACAGCUCAGAUCUGAUGUUGAUGUGGCUGUGCCGUAGGCUGUCGGCUACAGCUCCAGUUGGACCCUAGCCUGGGAACUUCCAAUGCCCCGGG